Molecule: ribosomal RNA, 464 nt
Filed under: uncultured bacterium
Lineage: Bacteria
Description: partial 16S ribosomal RNA
Rfam family: Bacterial small subunit ribosomal RNA
Source: RNAcentral
GACGAACGCUGGCGGCGUGCUUAACACAUGCAAGUCGAACGGAAAGGCCCAUUUGGGGGUACUCGAGUGGCGAACGGGUGAGUAACACGUGAGUAACCUGCCCUUGACUUCGGGAUAACUUCAGGGAACUGGGGCUAAUACCGGAUAGGAAUCCUUGCUGCAUGGUGGGGGUUGGAAAGCUUCGGCGGUUUUGGAUGGACUCGCGGCUGAUCAGCUUGUUGGUGGGGUAGUGGCUUAACAAGGCUUUGACGGGUAGCCGGCCUGAGAGGGCGACCGGCCACAUUGGGACUGGGAUACGGCCCAGACUCCUACGGGAGGCAGCAGUGGGGAAGAUUGCACAAUGGGCGGAAGCCUGAUGCAGCAACGCCGCGUGCGGGAUGACGGCCUUCGGGUUGUAAACCGCUUUCAGCAGGGGCGAAGCUUUUGUGACGGUACCUGCAGAAGAAGCACCGGCCAACUACGUG